RNAcentral lists this long non-coding RNA (897 nucleotides) under Sus scrofa (pig). Its description in RNAcentral is "lncRNA (ENSSSCG00030021764.1)". The record is from RNAcentral. Lineage: Eukaryota; Metazoa; Chordata; Mammalia; Artiodactyla; Suidae.
UUCUUUCUUCCUUCUUUUCUUUUCUUUCUUCCUUUUUCUUUCUUUCUUUUCUUUCCCUCCCUUCCUUCCUCUCUCUCUUUCUUUUCUUUUUUCUUUCUUUCUUUUCUUUCUUUCUUCCUUUCUUUCUCUCUUUCUUUCUGUCUGUCUGUCUUUCUCUCCCUCUCCCCCCUCCCCUUUCUUUCUUUCAGGAAGAAAUCUUUGCAGGCAGUGUCACACAGAGAGAAGGCUUGGUGUACAGCAGCUGUGUGGGUGCCCUCGUGUGAACCCCGCCCCAGGGGUUCCUGCUGCCCGCACAGCUGGAGAGCUGCACCACCCUCAGAGGUCCUGGGUCCAAGCCCGCAGGCUGCCGCCGGCUGGAGAAGCAAGGGCAGUGCCCUGAAAGCUGCAGUCAGGGGUCUUCUCAGGACACGGCUGGAAGGAAGGCGAGAACCCCUGGAUCUGAAUAGUCCGGAGCAGGGUGAGUCCUGCUUUUGCCUUGGAGGAGCUCCGUGACUUUGACAUGCCUACUUGACUUCUCUGGGCCUUGUGUUUGUUUGUUUGUUUGUUUAUUUGUCUUUUCUAGGGCCGCACCCGCGGCAUAUGGAGGUUCCCAGGCUAGAGGUCUAAUUGGAGCUAUAGCCACCGGCCUACACCACAGCCACAGCAACUCGGGGUCCGAGCCGCAUCUACAACCUACACCACUGCUCACAGCAACACCGGAUCCUUAACCCACUGAGUGAGGCCAGGGAUCAAACCCACAACCUCAUGGUGCCUAGUUGGAUUCGUUAACCCCUGAGCCACAAGGGGAACUCCCCCCUUGUGUUUAUUAUUUCCAAAAUUAAUAACUGCCAGAUAGGGCUGUUGGGAGAUUAAAAUGAGGUAAAUUGCGUGAAAUAAAUCAGAGCUAUAUCAGUUGCA